AACGCUGGCGGCAGGCCUAACACAUGCAAGUCGAACGGUANNACAGGAAGCAGCUUGCUGCUUUGCUGACGAGUGGCGGACGGGUGAGUAAUGUCUGGGAAACUGCCUGAUGGAGGGGGAUAACUACUGGAAACGGUAGCUAAUACCGCAUAACGUCGCAAGNAGACCAAAGAGGGGGACCUUCGGGCCUCUUGCCAUCGGAUGUGCCCAGAUGGGAUUAGCUAUGUUAGGUGGGGUAACGGCUCACCUAGGCGACGAUCCCUAGCUGGUCUGAGAGGAUGACCAGCCGACACACUGGAACUGAGACACGGUCCAGACUCCUACGGGAGGCAGCAGUGGGGAAUAUUGCACAACAAUGGGCGCAAGCCUGAUGCAGCCAUGCCGCGUGUAUGAAGAAGGCCUUCGGGUUGUAANAGAGUACUUUCAGCGGGGAGGAAAGGGAGUAAAGUUAAUACCUUUGCUCAUUGACGUUACCCGCAGCAGAAGAAGCACCGGCUAACUCCGUGCCAGCAGCCGCGGUAAUACGGAGGGUGCAAGCGUUAAUCGGAAUUACUGGGCGUAAAGCGCACGCAGGCGGUUUGUUAAGUCAGAUGUGAAAUCCCCGGGCUCAACCUGGGAACUGCAUCUGAUACUGGCAAGCUUGAGUCUC
Molecule: ribosomal RNA, 649 nt
Filed under: Escherichia coli
Lineage: Bacteria; Pseudomonadati; Pseudomonadota; Gammaproteobacteria; Enterobacterales; Enterobacteriaceae
Description: bacterial SSU rRNA
Rfam family: Bacterial small subunit ribosomal RNA
Source: RNAcentral